UGGGGAAUCUUGCACAAUGGGCGAAAGCCUGAUGCAGCCAUGCCGCGUGAAUGAUGAAGGCCCUAGGGUUGUAAAAUUCUUUCAUCAGGGAUGAUAAUGACAGUACCUGAAGAAGAAGCUCCGGCUAACUUCGUGCCAGCAGCCGCGGUAAUACGAAGGGAGCUAGCGUUGUUCGGAAUUACUGGGCGUAAAGCGCGCGUAGGCGGACUUUUAAGUCAGAGGUGAAAUCCCGGGGCUCAACUCCGGAACUGCCUUUGAAACUGGAAGUCUAGAGACCAGGAGAGGUCAGUGGAAUACCGAGUGGAGAGGUGAAAUUCGCAGAUAUUCGGUGGAACACCAGUGGCGAAGGCGACUGACUGGACUGGAACUGACGCUGAGGCGCGAAAGUGUGGGGAGCAAACAGGAUUAGAUACCCCCGUAGUCC
This 424-nucleotide ribosomal RNA is filed under the name uncultured prokaryote. Its description in RNAcentral is "bacterial SSU rRNA". It matches the Rfam family "Bacterial small subunit ribosomal RNA", at positions 355 to 796 of the family's 1533-position model. The record is from RNAcentral.